CUCAGGAAAGCUGCAUCCUCCACACUGAAACCACACCGGCAUUAGGACACUCCACCCAGCCUCUGGAAACACCCACCACUGCCUUCUUCUGGAAAGCACCUGCUCUAGUCCCUGGAGACUCGUAUUAGGGCAGAAUCCAACAGAAGAAUUCCGUGGUCAGCAGAGAAAGCCCCAUCUCAGCAUCCAUGGAGCAGGUGCAUCUGAGCACAAGCCUGGUGGACCAGCCGACAAGCCUAAGACAAGGGCACAGGAAGCCUGGGUAUUGCCCACAAACACUCCAUCCAGUUCUUCCAUGGCCUGCCUUGAGGUCUACCAAGCAUUUAAAAGUCACCUUACCUGCCUGGGUAAGUUUAACCAUAUGUACCAAUAUUUCAUCAAGCGAUGCAUACAAAAGGGAGAGAGAACCCAGCUGAAGGGUGGCUACAGUGACAGGCAUAGGCUCUGGGGAUGAUCAGUUAAGACCACAAGCGGAGACACAACUGAGGCACAGUUGUGACACUGAGACACAGGACCACAAACUGAUUCAGCUCUGAUGACGGUGGUGGUCGUC
Molecule: non-coding RNA, 550 nt
Organism: Sus scrofa (pig)
Lineage: Eukaryota; Metazoa; Chordata; Mammalia; Artiodactyla; Suidae
Source: RefSeq, a predicted model, not a curated record